This 731-nucleotide ribosomal RNA is filed under the name uncultured bacterium. Its description in RNAcentral is "bacterial SSU rRNA". It matches the Rfam family "Bacterial small subunit ribosomal RNA", at positions 771 to 1501 of the family's 1533-position model. The record is from RNAcentral.
AACAGGAUUAGAUACCCUGGUAGUCCAUGCCGUAAACGAUGAUUACUAAGCGUUGGAGGGUUUCCGCCCUUCAGUGCUGCAGCUAACGCAUUAAGUAAUCCGCCUGGGGAGUACGACCGCAAGGUUGAAACUCAAAAGAAUUGACGGGGGCCCGCACAAGCGGUGGAGCAUGUGGUUUAAUUCGAAGCUACGCGAAGAACCUUACCAGGUCUUGACAUCUUCUGACAGUCUAAGAGAUUAGAGGUUCCCUUCGGGGACAGAAUGACAGGUGGUGCAUGGUUGUCGUCAGCUCGUGUCGUGAGAUGUUGGGUUAAGUCCCGCAACGAGCGCAACCCUUAUUACUAGUUGCCAGCAUUAAGUUGGGCACUCUAGUGAGACUGCCGGUGACAAACCGGAGGAAGGUGGGGACGACGUCAAAUCAUCAUGCCCCUUAUGACCUGGGCUACACACGUGCUACAAUGGAUGGUACAACGAGUCGCGAAACCGCGAGGUUAAGCUAAUCUCUUAAAACCAUUCUCAGUUCGGACUGUAGGCUGCAACUCGCCUACACGAAGUCGGAAUCGCUAGUAAUCGCGGAUCAGCAUGCCGCGGUGAAUACGUUCCCGGGCCUUGUACACACCGCCCGUCACACCAUGAGAGUUUGUAACACCCAAAGCCGGUGGGGUAACCUUUUAGGAGCUAGCCGUCUAAGGUGGGACAGAUGAUUAGGGUGAAGUCGUAACAAGGUAACC